RNAcentral lists this ribosomal RNA (403 nucleotides) under uncultured bacterium. Its description in RNAcentral is "partial 16S ribosomal RNA". It matches the Rfam family "Bacterial small subunit ribosomal RNA", at positions 28 to 526 of the family's 1533-position model. The record is from RNAcentral.
GACGAACGCUGGCGGCGUGCCUAAUACAUGCAAGUCGAACGCAGUGGGGACGGGUGAGUAACACGUGGGUAACCUCCCAUCAGAGGGGAUAACACUUGGAAACAGGUGCUAAACCGAUACUGAUGGAUGGACCCGCGGUGCAUUAGCUAGUUGGUGAGGUAACGGCUCACCAAGGCCACGAUGCAUAGCCGACCUUGGAGGGUGGUCGGCACAAAUGGGACUGAGACACGGCCCAGACUCCUACGGGAGGGAGCAGUAGGGAAUCUUCGGCAAUGGACGAAAGUCUGACCGAGCAACGCCGCGUGAGUGAAGAAGGUUUUCGGGUCGUAAAACUCUGUUGUUAAGGAAGCGGUACUUAACCAGAAAGGGACGGCUAACUACGUGCCAGCAGCCGCGGUAAUUC